Molecule: ribosomal RNA, 565 nt
Filed under: uncultured Glomeromycotina
Lineage: Eukaryota; Fungi; Glomeromycota
Description: SSU rRNA
Rfam family: Eukaryotic small subunit ribosomal RNA
Source: RNAcentral
UUGGAGGGCAAGUCUGGUGCCAGCAGCCGCGGUAAUUCCAGCUCCAAUAGCGUAUAUUAAAGUUGUUGCAGUUAAAAAGCUCGUAGUUGAAUUUCGGGGUUAGUAGGUUGGUCAUGCCUCUGGUAUGUACUGGUCUCACUGAUUCCUCCUUCCUGAUGAGCCGUAAUGCCAUUAAUUUGGUGUUGCGGGGAAUUUGGACUGUUACUUUGAAAAAAUUAGAGUGUUUAAAGCAAGCUAACGCUUGAAUACAUUAGCAUGGAAUAAUGAAAUAGGACGUUCGAUCCUAUUUUGUUGGUUUCUAGGAUUGGCGUAAUGAUUAAUAGGGAUAGUUGGGGGCAUUAGUAUUCAAUUGUCAGAGGUGAAAUUCUUGGAUUUAUUGAAGACUAACUACUGCGAAAGCAUUUGCCAAGGAUGUUUUCAUUAAUCAAGAGCGAAAGUUAGGGGAUCGAAGACGAUCAGAUACCGUCGUAGUCUUAACCAUAAACUAUGCCGACUAGGGAUCGGAUGAUGUUAAUCUUUUAAUGACUCAUUCGGCGCCUUACGGGAAACCAAAGUGUUUGGGUUC